GAUGAAGAACGUAGCGAAAUGCGAUACUUGGUGUGAAUUGCAGAAUCCCGUGAACCAUCGAGUCUUUGAACGCAAGUUGCGCCCGCCAGUAUUCUGGCGGGCAUGCCUGUUCGAGCGUCAUUUCAACCAUCAAGCCCUGCUUGCGUUGGGGUCCUGCGGCUGCCCGCAGGCCCUGAAAACCAGUGGCGGGCUCGCUAGUCACACCGAGCGCAGUAAUACAUCUCGCUUUGGGCGUGCGGCGGGUUCUUGCCGUUAGACACCCCCUUUUUACCAAGGUUGACCUCGGAUCAGGUAGGAAUACCCGCUGAACUUAAGCAUAUCAAUAAGCGGAGGA
Molecule: unclassified non-coding RNA, 334 nt
Filed under: soil metagenome
Description: partial contains 5.8S ribosomal RNA, internal transcribed spacer 2, and large subunit ribosomal RNA
Rfam family: 5.8S ribosomal RNA (bases 1-120)
Source: RNAcentral